Molecule: long non-coding RNA, 732 nt
Organism: Heterocephalus glaber (naked mole-rat)
Lineage: Eukaryota; Metazoa; Chordata; Mammalia; Rodentia; Bathyergidae
Source: Ensembl
UCAAAAUUGAAAAAUGUUUAACAAAAUGCCUUCAGAAAGUAGCAUGUCAGCUUUAAUGUUUGUAAAGUUUAGUAUCCACACAAAUGUCAUAUUUGAAAACAAUUUGUAAGUUGGAUUUUUGGCAAGAGCUACGGACUAUGAAGAAUGAUGGAAGAGAAAUCAUAGCCAGUAGUAAAUUAAACAAGUUACUCAUAGUCAAGUAAUUUCAAAAGCACAUUUAUAAAAACCCUUUUAAAUUUAAACAAGAGUUACACUGAAUGAAGAAUGUGGGUGCAUUUUAGGCUUUGUUACCACGAUAGUGAGACCUCCAAGACUCAGAUUCUAGUCUGCAGAGGGCUUACGAUGGCCCAGCUUUUCAGUCAUGCUUUGGGCCUGGCUGUCCCCUUUAGCCCUCCCGCCUCACUAAGUAGGCUGAGCAGAUUCCGAGCACCUACUGCUACUUCGGUGUCCUCUCUAGAUCUGUGCAGCCAUCAUGUCCGGCUGGAGUUUCUCCACUUGGCAGAUGAGAAACUGACCUAUCGCUUGGGAGAGACUGAGGCCAGACUUCCUGGAACAACUCCCUGGAAAAAUGAAGCUCUUCUCUGAGUUCCUGGGAAAACAGCAAUGGUUCGUUGGUGACAAGAUCUGGCACCAUGUGAAUUCUGGCUCUUCUUCAAAUGCAAAAUGAAAAUGAUAAGUAAACAUUUUGAAUCUGUUAAGAACAUGAAGGCAGCCAAGACAGCAGAACAAAAG